CAGCCGCCGCGGUAAUACGUAGGUCCCGAGCGUUGUCCGAAUUUAUUGGGCGUAAAGCGAGCGCAGGCGGUUAGAUAAGUCUGAAGUUAAGGGCUGUGGCUUAACCAUAGUACGCUUUGGAUACUGUUUAACUUGAGUGCAAGAGGGGAGAGUGGAAUUCCAUGUGUAGCGGUGAAAUGCGUAGAUAUAUGGAGGAACACCAGUGGCGAAGGCGACUCUCUGGUCUGUAACUGACGCUGAGGCUCGAAAGCGUGGGUAGCAAACAGGAUUAGAUACCCCAGUAGUCCCUGUCUCUUAUACA
Molecule: ribosomal RNA, 301 nt
Filed under: uncultured bacterium
Lineage: Bacteria
Description: partial 16S ribosomal RNA
Rfam family: Bacterial small subunit ribosomal RNA
Source: RNAcentral